UCAAUGACUUGUAAGGUUUCAGGGUCUGUUU
Molecule: non-coding RNA, 31 nt
Filed under: Mus musculus (house mouse)
Lineage: Eukaryota; Metazoa; Chordata; Mammalia; Rodentia; Muridae
Source: RNAcentral